UGUUUUUCCCAGGCAUGGUUUUGGCGAUUGUCGUAAGCCGCUGCACGAGUCUGCUGCACUCCUCCAGGAGAUUGUUCACUCGCAGAUGGUCUUUCUUCUUUACCAAGCUUCAGAGAUGGCAGCAAAGAGAAACGGUCGAUUCAUCAGUCUCGAAGACUUUUUAUUUCUUUUGAGAAAAGAUAAGGUGAAGCUACGACGUCUGCUGCGGUACAUGAAGAUGAAAGAUCUGAAGAGUUCUUCCUUACGAGGCACCGGGUUCGAAGAGGAUGAGCAGUCAGAAGCCU
Long non-coding RNA from Octopus sinensis (East Asian common octopus), 284 nucleotides. RefSeq lists it as uncharacterized. The record is from RefSeq and is a predicted model, not a curated record. NCBI's taxonomy places the organism in Eukaryota, Metazoa, Mollusca, Cephalopoda, Octopoda, Octopodidae. The transcript is spliced from 3 exons.